UCUUGGGUUGUAAACCCCUUUUCUCUGGGAAGAAAGUUGUGAAAGCAACCUGACGGUACCAGAGGAAUCAGCAUCGGCUAACUCCGUGCCAGCAGCCGCGGUAAGACGGAGGAUGCAAGCGUUAUCCGGAAUGAUUGGGCGUAAAGCGUCCGCAGGUGGCAGUUCAAGUCUGCUGUCAAAGACCGGGGCUUAACUUCGGAAAGGCAGUGGAAACUGAACAGCUAGAGUAUGGUAGGGGCAGAGGGAAUUCCUGGUGUAGCGGUGAAAUGCGUAGAGAUCAGGAAGAACAUCGGUGGCGAAGGCGCUCUGCUGGACCAUAACUGACACUCAGGGACGAAAGCUAGGGGAGCG
RNAcentral lists this ribosomal RNA (351 nucleotides) under uncultured cyanobacterium. RNAcentral describes it as "bacterial SSU rRNA". It matches the Rfam family "Bacterial small subunit ribosomal RNA", at positions 416 to 770 of the family's 1533-position model. Lineage: Bacteria; Bacillati; Cyanobacteriota. The record is from RNAcentral.